UCCCUACGGGAGGCUGCAGUGGGGAAUUUUGGACAAUGGGGGCAACCCUGAUCCAGCCAUGCCGCGUGAGUGAAGAAGGCCUUCGGGUUGUAAAGCUCUUUCGGCCGGGAAGAAAUCGUGUGGGCUAAUACCCUGCAUGGAUGACGGUACCGGAAUAAGAAGCACCGGCUAACUACGUGCCAGCAGCCGCGGUAAUACGUAGGGUGCGAGCGUUAAUCGGAAUUACUGGGCGUAAAGCGUGCGCAGGCGGUUUGGUAAGACAGGCGUGAAAUCCCCGGGCUCAACCUGGGAACUGCGCUUGUGACUGCCUCACUAGAGUACGGCAGAGGGGGGUGGAAUUCCACGUGUAGCAGUGAAAUGCGUAGAGAUGUGGAGGAACACCGAUGGCGAAGGCAGCCCCCUGGGUCGAUACUGACGCUCAUGCACGAAAGCGUGGGUAGCAAACAGGAUUAGAUACCCUGGUAGUC
This 467-nucleotide ribosomal RNA is filed under the name uncultured Dechloromonas sp. RNAcentral describes it as "bacterial SSU rRNA". It matches the Rfam family "Bacterial small subunit ribosomal RNA", at positions 335 to 795 of the family's 1533-position model. Lineage: Bacteria; Pseudomonadati; Pseudomonadota; Betaproteobacteria; Rhodocyclales; Azonexaceae. The record is from RNAcentral.